RNAcentral lists this ribosomal RNA (683 nucleotides) under uncultured Bacilli bacterium. RNAcentral's name for it is "bacterial SSU rRNA". It matches the Rfam family "Bacterial small subunit ribosomal RNA", at positions 92 to 759 of the family's 1533-position model. Lineage: Bacteria; Bacillati; Bacillota; Bacilli. The record is from RNAcentral.
UCAGCGGCGGACGGGUGAGUAACACGUGGGUAACCUGCCUGUAAGACUGGGAUAACUCCGGGAAACCGGGGCUAAUACCGGAUGCUUGAUUGAACCGCAUGGUUCAAUCAUAAAAGGUGGCUUUUAGCUACCACUUGCAGAUGGACCCGCGGCGCAUUAGCUAGUUGGUGAGGUAACGGCUCACCAAGGCGACGAUGCGUAGCCGACCUGAGAGGGUGAUCGGCCACACUGGGACUGAGACACGGCCCAGACUCCUACGGGAGGCAGCAGUAGGGAAUCUUCCGCAAUGGACGAAAGUCUGACGGAGCAACGCCGCGUGAGUGAUGAAGGUUUUCGGAUCGUAAAACUCUGUUGUUAGGGAAGAACAAGUACCGUUCGAAUAGGGCGGUACCUUGACGGUACCUAACCAGAAAGCCACGGCUAACUACGUGCCAGCAGCCGCGGUAAUACGUAGGUGGCAAGCGUUGUCCGGAAUUAUUGGGCGUAAAGCGCGCGCAGGCGGUUUCUUAAGUCUGAUGUGAAAGCCCCCGGCUCAACCGGGGAGGGUCAUUGGAAACUGGGGAACUUGAGUGCAGAAGAGGAGAGUGGAAUUCCACGUGUAGCGGUGAAAUGCGUAGAGAUGUGGAGGAACACCAGUGGCGAAGGCGACUCUCUGGUCUGUAACUGACGCUGAGGCGCGAAAG